RNAcentral lists this ribosomal RNA (379 nucleotides) under uncultured bacterium. Its description in RNAcentral is "bacterial SSU rRNA". It matches the Rfam family "Bacterial small subunit ribosomal RNA", at positions 32 to 390 of the family's 1533-position model. The record is from RNAcentral.
AAUCAACGCUGGCGGCGUGCCUCAGACAUGCAAGUCGAACGCGAAAGUCCCCUUCGGGGGACAAGUAGAGUGGCGCACGGGUGAGUAACACGUAGGUAAUCUACCUUCGGAUGGGGAAUAACAAUCGGAAACGGUUGCUAAUACCGCAUAAUGCAGCGGCACCUAAUGGUGACAGUUGUUAAAGCGGGGGAUCGAAAGACCUCGCGUCUGAAGAGGAGCCUGCGGCGGAUUAGCUAGUUGGUAAGGUAAUGGCUUACCAAGGCGACGAUCCGUAACCGGCCUGAGAGGGCGGUCGGUCACACUGACACUGACAUACGGGUCAGACUCCUACGGGAGGCAGCAGUCGGGAAUUUUGGGCAAUGGGCGAAAGCCUGACCCA